UGGUAAGUCAGUUGUGAAAGUUUGCGGCUCAACCGUAAAAUUGCAGUUGAUACUGUCAGUCUUGAGUACAGUAGAGGUGGGCGGAAUUCGUGGUGUAGCGGUGAAAUGCUUAGAUAUCACGAAGAACUCCGAUUGCGAAGGCAGCUCACUGGACUGCAACUGACACUGAUGCUCGAAAGUGUGGGUAUCAAACAGGAUUAGAUACCCUGGUAGUCCACACAGUAAACGAUGAAUACUCGCUGUUUGCGAUAUACAGUAAGCGGCCAAGCGAAAGCAUUAAGUAUUCCACCUGGGGAGUACGCCGGCAACGGUGAAACUCAAAGGAAUUGACGGGGGCCCGCACAAGCGGAGGAACAUGUGGUUUAAUUCGAUGAUACGCGAGGAACCUUACCCGGGCUUAAAUUGCAGUGGAAUGAUGUGGAAACAUGUCAGUGAGCAAUCACCGCUGUGAAGGUGCUGCAUGGUUGUCGUCAGCUCGUGCCGUGAGGUGUCGGCUUAAGUGCCAUAACGAGCGCAACCCUUAUCUUCAGUUACUAACAGGUCAUGCUGAGGACUCUGGAGAGACUGCCGUCGUAAGAUGUGAGGAAGGUGGGGAUGACGUCAAAUCAGCACGGCCCUUACGUCCGGGGCUACACACGUGUUACAAUGGGGGGUACAGAAGGCAGCUAGCGGGUGACCGUAUGCUAAUCCCAAAAUCCUCUCUCAGUUCGGAUCGAAGUCUGCAACCCGACUUCGUGAAGCUGGAUUCGCUAGUAAUCGCGCAUCAGCCACGGCGCGGUGAAUACGUUCCCGGGCCUUGUACACACCGCCCGUCAAGCCAUGGGAGCCGGGGGUACCUGAAGUACGUAACCGCAAGGAUCGUCCUAGGGUAAAACUGGUGACUGGGGCUAAGUCGUAACAAGGUAACCA
This 909-nucleotide ribosomal RNA is filed under the name uncultured bacterium. RNAcentral describes it as "bacterial SSU rRNA". It matches the Rfam family "Bacterial small subunit ribosomal RNA", at positions 581 to 1502 of the family's 1533-position model. The record is from RNAcentral.